RNAcentral lists this long non-coding RNA (296 nucleotides) under Marmota monax (woodchuck). The record is from RNAcentral. Lineage: Eukaryota; Metazoa; Chordata; Mammalia; Rodentia; Sciuridae.
AAUCUGAGGAAGAAGUAGAGGAGCCUGAAGAAAGACAGCAAACACCUGAGGUGGUACCUGAUGAUUCUGGAACUUUCUAUGAUCAGACUGUCAGCAAUGACUUGGAAGAACAUUUAGAGGAGCCUGUUGCUGAACCAGAGCCUGAUCCUGAACCAGAACCAGAGCAAGAACCCGCAUCUGAAAUCCAAGAGGAAAAGUCUGAGCCGGUAUUAGAAGAACCUGCUCCUGAGGAUGCUCAGAAGAGUUCUUCUCCAGCACCUACAGAUAUAGCUCAAACAGUACAGGAAGACUUGAGG